AUGACGCUGGCGGUAGGCUUACACCUGCAGGUCAUGCGAGAAAGUACUUCGGGUGCGAGUAGAGCGGCGGACGGGUGAGUAACGCGUAGGAAUCUACCUAGUAGAAGGGGAUAGCCCGGGGAAACUCGGAUUAAUACCGUAUACCUCCUCAGGGAGAAAGAGGGCUUAGCUUUGAUGCUCUCGCUAUUAGAUGAGCCUGCGUAAGAUUAGCUUGUUGGUGAGGUAAUGGCUCACCAAGGCGACGAUCUUUAGCUGGUCUGAGAGGACGAUCAGCCACAUUGGGACUGAGACACGGCCCAGACUCCUACGGGAGGCAGCAGUGGGGAAUAUUGGACAAUGGGCGCAAGCCUGAUCCAGCCAUACCGCGUGUGUGAAGAAGGCUUUCGGGUUGUAAAGCACUUUAAGUAAGGACGAAAAAGAUUGUAGUUAAUACCUGCAAUCCGUGAUGUUACUUACAGAAUAAGGACCGGCUAAUUCCGUGCCAGCAGCCGCGGUAAUACGGAAGGUCCAAGCGUUAAUCGGAAUUACUGGGCGUAAAGCGCGCGUACGGUGGUUUUUCUAAGUUGGAUGUGAAAGCCCUGGGCUCAACCUAGGAACUGCAUCCAAAACUAGAUGACUAGAGUACGACAGAGGGAAGUAG
RNAcentral lists this ribosomal RNA (640 nucleotides) under uncultured bacterium. RNAcentral's name for it is "bacterial SSU rRNA". It matches the Rfam family "Bacterial small subunit ribosomal RNA", at positions 30 to 664 of the family's 1533-position model. The record is from RNAcentral.